GGGGCUGUGGCUCAGAGGUAGAGCGCUCACCUACCAUGUGUGGGGCACUGGGUUCGAUCCCUAGCACCA
Molecule: transfer RNA, 69 nt
Filed under: Ictidomys tridecemlineatus (thirteen-lined ground squirrel)
Lineage: Eukaryota; Metazoa; Chordata; Mammalia; Rodentia; Sciuridae
Description: Spermophilus tridecemlineatus (thirteen-lined ground squirrel) tRNA
Rfam family: tRNA
About the family: Transfer RNA (tRNA) molecules are approximately 80 nucleotides in length. Their secondary structure includes four short double-helical elements and three loops (D, anti-codon, and T loops). Further hydrogen bonds mediate the characteristic L-shaped molecular structure. tRNAs have two regions of fundamental functional importance: the anti-codon, which is responsible for specific mRNA codon recognition, and the 3' end, to which the tRNAs corresponding amino acid is attached (by aminoacyl-tRNA synthetases). tRNAs cope with the degeneracy of the genetic code in two manners: having more than one tRNA (with a specific anti-codon) for a particular amino acid; and 'wobble' base-pairing, i.e. permitting non-standard base-pairing at the 3rd anti-codon position.
Source: Rfam by way of RNAcentral